This 583-nucleotide long non-coding RNA is filed under the name Homo sapiens (human). Its description in RNAcentral is "HSALNT0330542". The record is from RNAcentral. Lineage: Eukaryota; Metazoa; Chordata; Mammalia; Primates; Hominidae.
GCCAAUGGUUGAAACCCAUGGCCCUUUGAAAUGUGCUGCUCACUCCUGUGUGCUGCUGGGUGUUUCCUGAAAGCUACGUUCCAACUGUGCUCUGAGAUCCCGCAACUUUCUGAGGGUGCUGAGUAUGGAUGGAGUGUGGGGCCCUGACAACUAGAGAACUUGCUCAAACCUGGCCGUUUCCUCAGUUGUGGUGGUUUUAAAACAUGUCUGCAAACCCUCAGACCUUCCUCUCAUUAAGAGGUAUGUGAGUGAGCAAACCAUGAGAGGAGUCCAGCCCUGGCCUUCCAGCCGUCCCAGCUGAGCGGAGAGACAGACAUGCUGUUCCUGCAGCAUCCUGGCCAAACUGCCAAUUCGAUUUCAAGGCAGUCUUCUCCCAAAAGAGAAUUCUGAGGCUGGCCCACUACAAUGUAUUUCUGCAGACAGAAGAUGAGAACAAGGCCAAAUGAUCAGUUGUGGCAUCUUUCAGUCAUAAGUUCAAUGAUUCUGGGCACAAGGCAAGGAGCCCUCUAAGGGAAGGAAGUCAUUCAUCGAAAUUAGAGCCACAGGCGGCUGAGGACAGGGCCAGGGACCAGCAGAGAUUCUG